UACGUAGGGGGCAAGCGUUGUCCGGAUUUAUUGGGCGUAAAGCGCGUGUAGGCGGCCCGAUAAGUCCGCCGUGAAAGCCCAGGGCUCAACCCUGGGAUGCCGGUGGAAACUGUCGGGCUAGAGUCCGGAAGAGGCGAGUGGAAUUCCUGGUGUAGCGGUGAAAUGCGCAGAUAUCAGGAGGAACACCGAUGGCGAAGGCAGCUCGCUGGGACGGUACUGACGCUGAGGCGCGAAAGCGUGGGGAGCGAACAGG
This 253-nucleotide ribosomal RNA is filed under the name uncultured bacterium. RNAcentral's name for it is "partial 16S ribosomal RNA". It matches the Rfam family "Bacterial small subunit ribosomal RNA", at positions 524 to 776 of the family's 1533-position model. The record is from RNAcentral.